CCUGCCCCACAGUUUGAGAACCACUAAACUAAAGAGUGGUAGCUGACCAACUGAGGCCACUGUGAAGUCGACUUGAAUGCAUCAUCAUCUUCUUAUUCUGCAGGCAACAAGAUUGGAUUUUCAAAAACUCCUUGGUGUUACUGCAAUAUCUUGGGGAGACAGUCACUGAGAGCCUCGCUCAGGUUGACAUGACUGCAGUUUUGUAUUUGAAAAUGGAGUCCUGAAAGCUUUCAAGUUUAGAUUCAUUGAUAAUUUGGAAGCCUUUGGUGAACAGAAGAAGCAAGGUAUGAUAUUAUAGCAAGUUUGGAAGAACCUGGAAGGCAGAUUUCAGUCCUAUAACAGAAGGCCACUGAAGGGUGGUUUGCCAAAGAGGGAAGGUUCUAGAAGCUGGCAGAUUGUGUUGUGUAGACUGGACCAUAAAUGCAGUCCAUUGGAGACCUGACAACUACGAGAGAUGGGGACCUUCAUCGUUGCCCAAUGAAGUCAUCUAGAGGGUCACUACAUACUUCAUUCCUAAGAAGUGGCAACAGAUAUGAAGCAUUUGUCUCAAGAAUGGAGCGGCCAUGACAUGCUGAAUGACUGGAAAAACAAGCGGCCAAUUACAAGCAUCACAGGGAAGAAGAAAAACAACGGCAAGCCAUACAAGUGAUGAAAUUUCACACCAAUUUGUAGCCAGGGAUGCACACAAAAAAUGUCAUCCCUACUGAGCACUAUCUACAGUAUCGAUACCAAGUGUGAAAUCGUGCCAUUUGUCAUCUGGGCCACUGAAAUGGAGAAGAAGGCAAGAGUGUGGCUCUAACAAGGACACGCAGCCUUCUAUAUUUAUAUAGCAAAACUACAUUACACAGUUAAUAGCAUUUUGAUUUCCAUCCAUGGGCUGCUGAUCAUAUCAGGUGAAC
This is a long non-coding RNA of Polypterus senegalus (gray bichir), 899 nucleotides long. RefSeq lists it as uncharacterized. The record is from RefSeq and is a predicted model, not a curated record. The transcript has 3 exons. Lineage: Eukaryota; Metazoa; Chordata; Cladistia; Polypteriformes; Polypteridae.